ACGUAUACUCCUCUCUUCUCCAUGGUGAUGCUUCUGUCUAUGAAUCAAUCAGAGGUUCUGAAGACACUGAAAAUGAUUCAGGCUUUAUCAGGCCGAUCCAGUCUGAGAGCACCAAUCAGGACCCCGCCGUGAAUCACAUGGUCAACCUGAAUGAACCUCA
Long non-coding RNA from Thunnus maccoyii (southern bluefin tuna), 160 nucleotides. RefSeq lists it as uncharacterized. The record is from RefSeq and is a predicted model, not a curated record. The transcript is spliced from 4 exons. NCBI's taxonomy places the organism in Eukaryota, Metazoa, Chordata, Actinopteri, Scombriformes, Scombridae.